This is a long non-coding RNA of Humulus lupulus (European hop), 205 nucleotides long. RefSeq lists it as uncharacterized. The transcript has 3 exons. The record is from RefSeq and is a predicted model, not a curated record. NCBI's taxonomy places the organism in Eukaryota, Viridiplantae, Streptophyta, Magnoliopsida, Rosales, Cannabaceae.
AGGGGAGCUUUCUGUCUAUGUGAACUCUUUUGCAAUUCUUACAAAAUCUCUACUGCCCUUGCCAGACAAAUAUCAUGGUCUAACUCAUGUGGAUAAGCGUUACCGGCAACGGUACAUUGAUAUGAUUUCCAAUCCUGAAGUAGCUGAUGUAUUUCGGAAGAGAGCAAAGAUUGUAUCAGAGUUACGCAAGAUAGUGGAAUCUUUU